CGAAAGCCUGACGGAGCAAUACCGCGUGAGGGAGGAAGGCUCUUGGGUCGUAAACCUCUUUUCUCAGGGAAGAAAAAAAUGACGGUACCUGAGGAAUAAGCAUCGGCUAACUCCGUGCCAGCAGCCGCGGUAAUACGGAGGAUGCAAGCGUUAUCCGGAAUGAUUGGGCGUAAAGGGUCCGCAGGUGGUACUGUAAGUCUGCUGUUAAAGAGCAAGGCUCAACCUUGUAAAAGCAGUGGAAACUACAGAACUAGAGUGCGUUCGGGGCAGAAGGAAUUCCUGGUGUAGCGGUGAAAUGCGUAGAUAUCAGGAAGAACACCGGUGGCGAAAGCGUUCUGCUAGGCCGUAACUGACACUGAGGGACGAAAGCUAGGGGAGCGAAUGGGAUUAGAUACCCCAGUAGUCCUAGCCGUAAACGAUGGAUACUAGGCGUGGCUUGUAUCGACCCGAGCCGUGCCGGAGCUAACGCGUUAAGUAUCCCGCCUGGGGAGUACGCACGCAAGUGUGAAACUCAAAGGAAUUGACGGGGGCCCGCACAAGCGGUGGAGUAUGUGGUUUAAUUCGAUGCAACGCGAAGAACCUUACCAAGACUUGACAUCCUGCGAAUCUUUGGGAAACUGAAGAGUGCCUUCGGGAGCGCAGAGACAGGUGGUGCAUGGCUGUCGUCAGCUCGUGUCGUGAGAUGUUGGGUUAAGUCCCGCAACGAGCGCAACCCUCGUUUUUAGUUGCCAGCAUUAAGUUGGGCACUCUAGAGAGACUGCCGGUGACAAACCGGAGGAAGGUGAGGAUGACGUCAAGUCAGCAUGCCCCUU
This 812-nucleotide ribosomal RNA is filed under the name Anabaena sp. VresL2-1. RNAcentral describes it as "bacterial SSU rRNA". It matches the Rfam family "Bacterial small subunit ribosomal RNA", at positions 376 to 1203 of the family's 1533-position model. Lineage: Bacteria; Bacillati; Cyanobacteriota; Cyanophyceae; Nostocales; Nostocaceae. The record is from RNAcentral.